This 173-nucleotide non-coding RNA is filed under the name Amphidinium carterae. The record is from RNAcentral. Lineage: Eukaryota; Dinophyceae; Amphidiniales; Amphidiniaceae.
AGACAAUCGUCGCAAGAUGGGAUUGCUCGGCACCCGAGAGAUGGGUGCAGGAAAUCAGAAAGAUGUAUCCUUCCACGCACAGGGUGUGCUGGCUGAGAAAAAGAUUGAAGAGGUAUUCACCUCGGGAGGACUUGGAACCAACGAAGCAGUCAUCAAGACUGCAAUCGACCAGA